UGAACGCUGGCGGCAGGCCUAACACAUGCAAGUCGAGCGGAUGAAAGGAGCUUGCUCCUGGAUUCAGCGGCGGACGGGUGAGUAAUGCCUAGGAAUCUGCCUGGUAGUGGGGGACAACGUUUCGAAAGGAACGCUAAUACCGCAUACGUCCUACGGGAGAAAGCAGGGGACCUUCGGGCCUUGCGCUAUCAGAUGAGCCUAGGUCGGAUUAGCUAGUUGGUGAGGUAAUGGCUCACCAAGGCGACGAUCCGUAACUGGUCUGAGAGGAUGAUCAGUCACACUGGAACUGAGACACGGUCCAGACUCCUACGGGAGGCAGCAGUGGGGAAUAUUGGACAAUGGGCGAAAGCCUGAUCCAGCCAUGCCGCGUGUGUGAAGAAGGUCUUCGGAUUGUAAAGCACUUUAAGUUGGGAGGAAGGGUUGUAGAUUAAUACUCUGCAAUUUUGACGUUACCGACAGAAUAAGCACCGGCUAACUCUGU
RNAcentral lists this ribosomal RNA (481 nucleotides) under uncultured bacterium. RNAcentral describes it as "bacterial SSU rRNA". It matches the Rfam family "Bacterial small subunit ribosomal RNA", at positions 30 to 506 of the family's 1533-position model. The record is from RNAcentral.